CCCUGGCUCAGGACGAACGCGGGCGGCGUGCCUAAUACAUGCAAGUCGAGCGGACUUGAUGAAGUGCUUGCACUUCUGAUAGUUAGCGGCGGACGGGUGAGUAACACGUGGGUAACCUGCCUUUAAGACUGGGAUAACAUUCGGAAACGGAUGCUAAUACCGGAUAGGCGAUUUGAUCGCAUGAUCGAAUCGAGAAAGAUGGAGCAAUCUAUCACUUAGAGAUGGACCCGCGGCGCAUUAGCUAGUUGGUGAGGUAACGGCUCACCAAGGCGACGAUGCGUAGCCGACCUGAGAGGGUGAUCGGCCACACUGGGACUGAGACACGGCCCAGACUCCUACGGGAGGCAGCAGUAGGGAAUCUUCCGCAAUGGACGAAAGUCUGACGGAGCAACGCCGCGUGAGUGAUGAAGGUUUUCGGAUCGUAAAGCUCUGUUGCCAGGGAAGAACGCUUGGGAUAGUAACUGCUCCCAAGGUGACGGUACCUGAGAAGAAAGCCCCGGCUAACU
RNAcentral lists this ribosomal RNA (506 nucleotides) under Paenibacillaceae bacterium CL6.48. RNAcentral's name for it is "bacterial SSU rRNA". It matches the Rfam family "Bacterial small subunit ribosomal RNA", at positions 17 to 502 of the family's 1533-position model. The record is from RNAcentral. Lineage: Bacteria; Bacillati; Bacillota; Bacilli; Caryophanales; Paenibacillaceae.